RNAcentral lists this long non-coding RNA (1752 nucleotides) under Homo sapiens (human). Its description in RNAcentral is "HIF1A stabilizing long noncoding RNA". Lineage: Eukaryota; Metazoa; Chordata; Mammalia; Primates; Hominidae. The record is from RNAcentral.
AAACAAGUGCUUGAAGGCAGUAUGCUUGGUAAAAGUCAUCGCCAUUCUCUAAUCUUGAGUACCCAGGGACACGAUACACUGCGGAAGGCUGCAGGGACCUCUGCCCAGGAAAGCCAGGUGGUUUCCAAAAGGAAAAGCUUUGGGAGAUAGAAGUCCUCGUUUUGACCUCUGCCCUCCUUGUACACCAGGAGCCAGAAAAACUUCAUCUCUUUUACAAGAAACAUUGAGAUUCCUGUAAAAUUAAGAAAUCACACAAUUUGAUGGUCUACAUUAUCUAAAGCAAAUGAGACUUCUAUUUGGAACAAAGACUACCUUGUUGGGAAAUGAGUCUGCAAGUUAAAGUGUUUUCUGGGAUCACUCUAAGCUCCAGUGUCAAGGAGUCAAGUCCUUCAGGAAUUCUCUGCCUCCACUCCCUGUGGCAGAGCUAGAGUGGCUGCCAUGCUUCUGAGCUCAGCCAGCAUCCAGAGAGAGAGUGAGAUACAGCCUCCUCUUCUUGAAGCACCCACUUCUAAACUCUGUGACAGUUUUCUUGGAACUCUGUUAUGUGGAUCUGGAGAUGACAAUGUCACAGCACUCCCCUCUAAGCCUAAAUUCCCCCACACCGAUGAACUAUUAGAUGAUGCAUAUCAUAAAUUAUUACUCACCCCAUGUUCCCACCCUCGAGAGACCUCCAAACAAUCACCAUGCCACAGUGAACAUUCAGUAACAAAAAUUCAGCCAGGGUUUUCACCAGCAUGAAUGGCAGUGAUUCCAAUCAGGAAAACAGAAAGAGGAGAGUUCAGAGCCACCUAGAAUGGCUCUUGCAAGAUACGAAAUCAAGGCAGCAGCAACAGGGCUGAACAUUCCUCAUCCCUAACUCUCCCUUCACCAGUAGGAAACCCAGGAUAACUGCAAUCACCGCAGGCCCAUCUGGCCUGAAGUUCUACUACUAGUAGCCCUCCAUGGGACCUUCUUAAGGAAGCAUGUCAACUCAGGUAAGGGAUGUAAGGGGAUGGAUGACCCUUUGAGGCCAAAGUUGGAGCAAAAAACACCAGAUGUUCCUGUGCACUGCUCCUAAGAGAUGGUUCUGAAGACCAGUUCGGGGAGAGGUCAAAAUACUGGACAGAAUCUCAGCAACAUGGAACCUCAAACUAAGUGACAGUCACAGACAACUCUUCCCCAAAGAAAAUAAGCACAGACAUGGUUUGUGGUAAGCAGAAUUAUAAAGAUGAAUUCCCAUCUCCCUGUCAGAUUACCAGUAUGGUAAAUUACCAGAUUACCUGGUUAUUUAUUCAAACACUAAUACAGUUAUUGCCUUGAUGGAAACAUACAGAUACAAUUAAAAUCCCAAGUACCAAAUAAAUUGACCUUAAGACAAAGACUAAGUAAAUCACAUGAGCCCUCUACAAGCAGAGAGUUUUUCUCCAGCUGGUAGCAGAAGCCAGAGAUUUGAAGCAUAGGAAGUAUUCAACACAUUAUUGCUGGCCUGAAAAUGGAAGGGGCCACAUAACGAGGGAAACCGGUGGCCUCUAGAAGCAGGGAGCAGUCCCCUGCUGACAGACAGCAAGCCAAGACCUCAGUUCUACAAUUGCAAGACACUCAAUUCUGCUAAGGACAAAAAUGAGCUUGGAAGUGAACUCUGAGCUUCAGGUGAGAACACGGCCAAACAACACCUUGAUUUCAGCUUAAACAAAGAAUGCAGCCACUCCAUGCCAGAAUUCUGACCUGUAGAAAUUUGAGCUAAUAAAUAGAUGUUUUAAUAGCUUCAUCGAU